UGCUUAUGGUAAAAAUGACCCCUGACUGGCAAAUUGCAUCUAGACUGACAAGAAGUAUGAGUGAGCUACAAAUAUCUGAUGAGGGUGCCAUGCUUUGGACUUGCCUGAAUGUAGUCCUUUGCAAGGAACCCUAGAAACUAUGCCAAGGAAUUGCUACAGAAGAUGCUGGCUGCUUAGGACAUGAGGCUUCUUCUCAGAGUAGCUCCUGCACCUCCUUGAUUGUGGAUCUCAAGCUUUGCACCUGGAACUGUGUCACAUGGAAAGACAAGAGUCACUUGCUUCAACUGUUGCAGGAUUCCUGCUGAGAGAAACUUCUUCUGAUGCUGCCCUGCUGGCAAGCUGGCAAGAAUUGUGGCUUGUGGUAGGAUUGUCACCUCAUUGUUGUAAAGGCAUGCAUGUUUCAGCAACUUCAUGUGAGAAUUCAACCAAAGCCUAAAAUAGACUGAGAGGAGAAGUUUCCAGGUUUUACUACAACACAAAGUGGAAUCCUAUGGAUAUUUCAGGUUACAGUGGGUCUGUCACACAGUGCAUACUGUGCAGCAACUUCAGCUCUUAGGAUUGUUAACAACAAUGAGGUUUUGAUCUGUCUUUCCAACCGAUGAGUGAUUAGAAGCUGAAAAUUCAGAGGAAAGGCUUUGUGCCCAGGAAACAAGUAGGAGGGAGAGAGAAGGUGGAAAAAAUAAAGAAAAGAGACAGACACCUUGGGAAUACAAAGAAUAUACCAAAGGGCCCUUCCCAUCUCAAAUGAGUAAUCACAGCACACUGUAAGAAUGGGUUAUAAGAUGAACCUAAUCACCCAGAAAAGGUUAAUCUGUGCUCUGUAUGCUCUGUUUUAGUAAGUAGGGAAAUAAGAAAUGGAUUUUAGAGAGGGACUAAGAGAAAGAGUUCAAACAAAAAGUUGUGUUGCAAGAGCUUCUAUGAUUUAGAAGAUUCACUUAAUGUGGGGAAAAAACCUCAUUCACCAUCAUGAUGGAUAAAACAUGCAACAGAGUCCAUGUCUCUUUACAGAAGAGACAUGCUUCGGUGAUCAACACAGGCUUUCACCAAGGCUUUUUCACCUGGGAAAAGGUCAACUUUUCAAAAGAAAAAUCAUCUUUGAUUUACAGCGGAAAACUAAAUGCAGGAACGAAACAGGAGGCUGGGAUCACUCACUGGCGUUGGAUUCUGCUCGCACCUGCAGACGCAGGUGCAGUCCAUCUCCAGGGACAUACCGCAGCCCACCACAGGAGGACGGCACAAGCCUGACCUCUGCUGGAAGCUGGAGCUCUGUGCAGCCUUCUGGGGUCUUCACCUGGAGUGAGGAUGGCGUUAUAGAAAUAUCCAUGGACACACCUCCUUCUUUAGGCUCCCUGGUAAUUAAAAACAAAACAUAAAAAAUUACUUCUCCUUGAUGGAAACCAAGUGAUAAAACAGAGAAAAAAGGCCAAGGACCUAACUGUUCCUCUUCAAUAAAUGUUCUAAAGUUACUGUCCUAAAAAAAAAGUGAAUGAAUCAUAAAGGAAAUCAUCCUAUACUAAAUUUAGAUCAGGUCAGAGAGUACUUUUCCCUGUCACUGUAACAUGAAAGUUCUAGAACAUAAUUUUAUUCUUGCCUUUUUUAAUGGUAAUUUAAAUGUGAGUUUCCCUCGUUGCUAAUAAUGAUCUUGAGCCUCAGUUCUCUAUCCUUUUUUUAUUUAUUUUAUUUUUUCCCCAGUUCUCUAUCCUAACGCAUCCUGCAGCUACUCCAACCUGGACCUACCUGGGGUUGCUCUCAGAGUCAUUCUGCUCACAUAGACCACCUCUCAUUUCCUAACGCCCCCUAUUUUCUCCCACAAGUUUCCCCACAAGGUUUCU
Molecule: long non-coding RNA, 1832 nt
Organism: Canis lupus familiaris (dog)
Lineage: Eukaryota; Metazoa; Chordata; Mammalia; Carnivora; Canidae
Exons: 4
Source: RefSeq, a predicted model, not a curated record